CAUAUUUGUGGAUUUUCCUGUUUUUCUUCUGUUAUUGAUUUCUAGCUUCAUUCCAUUAUGGUUAGAGAAGAUAGUUUGUAUGAUUUCAAUUUUUUUUAUUUAUGGAAAAUUGUUUUAUGGGCUAACAGACUAUCCUGAAGAAUGUUCCAUGUGCACUUGAGAAGAAUGUGUCUUCUGCUAUUGUUGGGUGAAGUGUUCUGUAUAUGUCUGUUAGGUCUAGGUGGUUUAGAGUAUUGUUCAAGUCCUCUGUUUCCUUUUUAAUCUUCUGUCUAGAUGUCUAUCCAUUAUUUAAAGUAAAGUAUUGAGACCUCUAACUAUUAUUGUAGAACUAUUUCUCCUUUCAGUUCUGUCAAUGUUUCCUUCAUAUAUUUUCUGGCUCUGUUGUUUGGUGCAUAUAUAUCUGUAAUUUUUAUAUCUUGUUGUGGAUUGACCCUUUUAACUAUAAAAUGUCUUUCCUUGUCUCUUGUACAAUUUUUUUAAUUUAAAAUCUGUAUUGUCUGAUAUUUGUAUAGCCAUGCCAGCCAGCUCUCUUUUAGCUGCUAUUUGUAUGGAUUUACAUAGUUUUGAUAGCAAAAUUCAGAUUAUGAUCUAGGCAAGUGAUGGUGGUUCAAAAAUAAAUUUUUGUCAUGUUAUUGCUUAUUUAUUUAACUGGAGUUAGUUUAAAAGUGUCAAGAAAUGUCUUAUAUGCAUAUAUAUUUUUUUAAGUGUGUGUACUGUUUACUAUAGAAUUUAUUCUUUGGGGAUUAGGAUAUUUCUUGUAUUUCUUUGUAGCUAAAAGCUGAUACUAUAAACUUUAGUUUACUAUAUGCAUCAUGUCCCAGUUGCAUUUAUAGUCUACAUAGUCAACUAUAGUUCUCAAAUAAUAAUCAUAUUAAUUGCUACUAGAUUAUCAUAUAUGUGUUUGUGUGUGUGUGUAUUCCCUUUAAUGUAUAUUUAAAGUAGACAUCAAGUCAGUUUUAUACCCAUAGUACCCAACAGGCUUACGUUUUGACUUCUAAAACUCUGGAAGUGGAGAUCACAUAUACUUCUUUCGUUGAAAAUUUACUAUAGGUUUUUAUUUGUAAAAUUCUGAGAGUAUAUUGGCUACAUGUAUGGCAUGCAUUUCUCUCCAGGUAUACCAUUAUACCAAGUAGAGCACAUUUUGGUGAUACCAUUCUAUAGAAGUAAAUUGACGAAGCUAAUUCAAUGUUAAUUUACUAUACUUUUCUAAUACCAGUUUCUCUUUAAUUCUUUGACAGAAAAGUUUAGGUUUAGGUGGUUAAUGCAGUAUGAUUUAGAAAUAUAUGAAUUUGAUAAUUUUUUCCUUUUGGGAAAAUUAUUUUAAAGCCCAUAGUAUUUUACUGGUAAGAUUAUUUACAUUUUAAAAGUACCUGUCAUAAUACUUUGCUAAGACAAUUUAUUAUUGAAAGAAUUCAUGUGUAUUUCUGGGCAAUUAUAAGGAAGUUAAGGUUGCAGAAUGAGCUGUGAAUGUUCUUACCUGUCCUCUCCCUCUAAGAGUUGUUGCUCAUUGUUUUGUUUCUCCAUGUUGCUUCCAAUUCUCUAAUAAUCCUUUAGGAUUAGUACCUAAUCCCAGCAAACAAAAAUAUUCAAGGAGUCCCUAUGGAUUAUGAUGAGGAAAAGAAAAAUUUUAUCAAGAAGAGAUGAGCUAUUAGUGAAUAAAGUACAAAGAGAGUGAGUGGGAGGACUUUUGCCACAAGAGCAGCAAAGACCAAGAAGUUGACCCUUGAACAAUGCAGCAGUAAGGGGUGCUGAGCCUCUGUGCAGUGGAAAAUCCGUGCAUAACUUUACAGUCAGUCCUCCAUAUCUGUGGUUCGACUUCCGAGGAUUCAACCAACCAUAGAUGGGAUAGUACUGUGCACGUGGGAUCUUCAUUCCCCGACCAGGGAUUGAACCUGUGCCCCCUGUAUUGGAAGCGCAGAGUCUUAACCACUGGACCAUCAGGGAAGUCUCCGCAGUUGGAUCUUUAUGUUUAGGGUACGGGUAGUUGAGAAAAGGGGAGAUUCUGUUAACUUUCGAAGUUUGGACAUUUGGAUGGAUGAUGCCGUUACUCAUCUCGGAAAAAAAAUAAAAAAGAAGAGUAGUUUCGGGUGGAGCAGGAGUGGAGAGAGGAGGGUGGUUAGUCUGUGAACGUGGAAUUACUUGAAGGAGCCCUGGGUGUAACUGGGGAUGUUUAGUAGGCGGUUGGCUAAAUGGACUUGGAGCUCAGAAAAGAAAUAUGAGCUAGAAAAUCAGAGUUUAAUCCGCUAGUCAACUAACCAUCAACUGAGUAAGUGAUCGAGUUAUUCAGCUAAAUAAUAGUUGAAGCCAUGGCUGUCCCAGUUAUAGAAGCUGAGCCUGUACUCUGGGUGCCAGGCAAUUCACACGUCUGAACUCAUUCACUCUUCCUUAUGACCCCAUGAAGUCGGUCUGCGUAUUGGCCCCACUUUAUAAGAGGGGACACGUCAGAGAUGUCAGGGAACCUGCCCAGGAUCACACACACGCAGCCUGCAGGUUCUGAGUCUAGUGCCCACGUGCUUCCCCACGUGCCGGGAAUGGACUCCGAGCGAGAAGAGAACUGGGCUGAGGUCAGAAUCACAGGGGCCACUGGCGUUAAGGGAUGAGCAGAGAAUGGGAGUGGUAGAAGAAUUCGGAGGGUUGGCAUGGAAGUCAAAGGAAGGCGUUUCCAGAAGGGAGGUGAGUGGAAGGACCUGCUGACAGCUGUUCUAGGGAAGCCAUGUGUACACACCCUGGGAUGGAGGAGCACACAGCCAAGUGAAGACCUGCAAAACCAGACUCAGUCAGCAGCCUGAGAGAGCUCAAAUCUCCAAGCUCCACUUCACUGAGGCUGGAGCAGGUGGCAUGGGAUCCAAGAAACAGGCUUAAAUCCUGGAGUUGCUGAGGGUAGGGUGUGGAGAGAAGCAGCAGCGGUUUCAACCUUCGCAGGCUCCUCCCAGGAGAGAAGGAGGACCUGUUUUAUUGACACUUAGGAAAACUUACUCCACCAAGGAGCCUCCAGUGAAGCCCUUCAGGAGACAGCAUUAUUAAUCAAGGGGCUGUCACCUACGAUGUCAAGCAGGUGCUGCUGAAGCUGUAGGAAGGGACCUGCUUCCCAAAGGCCCUCGUACUGGAAUUAGGAUGCACUUGGGAACUGGCAGGAUGCCAGACAGGCAGCCGUGGCUGUAACGGGGCUCAUGGCGGGGAUCUUCUUGCUCAGAAACUUUUCAUCAGAAGAGCAAACACAUGGCCUCCUUUACCUGGACACGGACAUCCUAGAAUCAACCAUGUCCUCAAGGAAUGUUGGUUCCUCUUAUUGGAGAAUGGAUUGGAAACGCAGACCCAGGCACUAGAUGGACUCACUGCCUCUGGAGUGUCAUAACUUCUGGGCCCUCUCUGCUGAUGGAGCUGGGAAAUAUAGAAUCCGAGUGACUUGUGCUGAUUGGACCAGCAAGGCUGAAUGUAAAAUAUCCUGCAUCAGGAAAGCUUCAGCAGUGUAUGCUGGGCUUCCCUGGUGGCUCAGUGGUUAAGAACCCACCUGCCAAUACAGGGGACACGGGUUUGAGCUCUGGUCCAGAAAGAUCCCACAUGCCGCGGAGCAACUAAG
This is a non-coding RNA of Delphinapterus leucas (beluga whale), 3580 nucleotides long. Lineage: Eukaryota; Metazoa; Chordata; Mammalia; Artiodactyla; Monodontidae. The record is from RefSeq and is a predicted model, not a curated record.